Molecule: long non-coding RNA, 288 nt
Filed under: Zea mays
Lineage: Eukaryota; Viridiplantae; Streptophyta; Magnoliopsida; Poales; Poaceae
Description: long non-coding RNA (ZMAY_LNC000573)
Source: RNAcentral
GUAAUUAAAAGAGCUGUUUGUGCAAUGACUGCCUUGUUAAAAACCUUUCUAGGUAAAAACUCACAUCUCGUGAGAAAACCCUAGAAAGAAAAAGAGUACAGUCCCAGCUCAUAUAUAUUGUUCGUUGUUGAUGACUACAUAUUACAUGGAUGAAACAUGAAGAUACAUGAUACAGAAUUAUAGAUACAGUCCUAAGACCCUAAGUCUUAGGUUGCUCCACCUCAUCAAGAUACAGUCCUUCAAAUGCAUCUUCUAAUUCUUUGUCCUGGGCAGAGUGUUGAGCUCUUG